AUUCUUUGAGAGAACUUCUCCACCGACCCCGUCACCUGGAUUGGAUCACCGACCUCUCCCAAGAGGGGCCUGGCUUCCUCCUCGCUGGGGAAACGGUAGGGAGCUCCCCUAGGUAAAGCCUCUAGGGAGAGUGGCCAGGAGCCGGGUCAGGAAAGGCUCUGGUGCCCAAAGGGCUGCCCGCAGAGGCUGAGGUCCCUGCAAGUGCACAGGGAGGAGAGGUGAGAUCAGAUUCCAGCCGAGUCAGGCUUCCAUGUCAGACUGCGUGUGUUUAUGCAGAGGUGCAACUCAGGAAUUACUGAGGAGAAAGUACAGGGCCAAUUUAACCUCCUCUGAGAGACCUCUAACCCUGCUCAUCACCACUCCUCGCUAAAAAGGGCCCUCUCCAGGGAAGAACCCAGAGGGAGAGCGGGAAUUCUCCUCCCCUUGGAGGAAGAGUGCUUCCUCUACCCUUAAUGUAUCAACUGACAACAAUUCAAACAGAAGGAAACUAGGAUGUGACAAAUAAAGGAAGCCUUUUCAUGCUCUAUGUCCACUGGCGUCGGGCAAGCCCCGGUGGAAGUCCAAGGAAAAGAGUCUAAGACCCAAACAGAUGGUUUGCGCCAAAGUUCUGAAGUGUAUCAGACGUGAAUAAAGGUCUUCGAUUCCCUGCCCCCUGCCCGAGGACCUGCCUCCUCCCUGCCCGAGGACCAAGCUUCAGAAGAACUGCACAUGGGAGGAAAUACCAACCGCUUAACUUCUUCAGAGACAACCUCUAACCCGGCUCACCACCACGCUAGCUAAAAAAGGGCCCUCUCCCAGGGAAGAUCCCGGAGGAAGAGUGGGAAUUCACCCUCCCCUUGGGGGAGGAGUGCUUUCUCUACCCUUAAUUUAUGAACUGAGAAAAAUCCUAACAAGCCUACUAUGAAAUAAAGAUGCCCUUAACCCAUUUAUGCCUAGUGUUCCAUUAUUGGAACGCUAAGCUUGUGGGAGUUAUUUAUAUCCUACUGCUCAAAACCAUUGCCAAGGUCUGAUUUUUCACACAAAAAAAUUUGCAACCUUCGGUAUAAAUGGGUUAAUUCCAAAGCCUAAAGCAACCUAAGACAUCUCAGUCCACAGUGAGCCCAGCCUCCAGCUGCAGGUGUUGGCUUCCACACAGCGCAGGACCAAGCAGUUUUGUGCUGAGUCCAUCUCUGUGGCCACCGGCCACCCGGUGCUGGGGCUGGUCCCCAGCUCAUCUGCACAGGGUUGGUGGAAGGGGCCAGAGGCAGCCUGGGCUCUGAAUUCCACCCAGACCUGGGGAAUAGGCCUGGUAGGGGAGUGAAUGCCAGGGCCGCUGGUGGCCUUGGCUCUUCUGCACGGCAGCAACUGUGGUGGCCUGAGAAUAAGGAGUUACCAUAAGGACGUAGAGGUAGAUCACCAGAGCCGCAUCCACACCCAGAGAUAGACUCACACAUCUGUGGUGUGUUCAUUUCAACAAAGGUGCAGAGAAAAUUCCAUGGAGGAAAAACAAUAGCCUAUCAACAAAUGGUGUUAGAACGAUUGGAUAUCUCACGCAAAAAAUUAACUUUUAUCUGUAUCUCAUGUUAUGUAAAAAUGGAACCAAAAUAGAUUAUAAACAUAAUGUAGAAUAUAAAAGAAAUUAUGGUAAAAAUCAUAGGAAAAAAAUCUGUGCGACCUUAGUUAGGCAAAGAUAUUUUAAAUUUGACAGCAAAAGUACAAUCCAUAAAAGAAAAGAAA
This is a long non-coding RNA of Homo sapiens (human), 1716 nucleotides long. The record is from Ensembl. Lineage: Eukaryota; Metazoa; Chordata; Mammalia; Primates; Hominidae.